CUCCUACGGGAGGCAGCAGUGGGGAAUUUUGGACAAUGGGCGCAAGCCUGAUCCAGCAAUGCCGCGUGCAGGAAGAAGGCCUUCGGGUUGUAAACUGCUUUUGUACGGAACGAAAAGGCUCUGGUUAAUACCUGGGGCACAUGACGGUACCGUAAGAAUAAGCACCGGCUAACUACGUGCCAGCAGCCGCGGUAAUACGUAGGGUGCAAGCGUUAAUCGGAAUUACUGGGCGUAAAGCGUGCGCAGGCGGUUUUGUAAGACAGGCGUGAAAUCCCCGGGCUCAACCUGGGAAUUGCGCUUGUGACUGCAAGGCUGGAGUGCGGCAGAGGGGGAUGGAAUUCCGCGUGUAGCAGUGAAAUGCGUAGAUAUGCGGAGGAACACCGAUGGCGAAGGCAAUCCCCUGGGCCUGCACUGACGCUCAUGCACGAAAGCGUGGGGAGCAAACAGGAUUAGAUACCCUGGUAGUCCACGCCCUAAACGAUGUCAACUGGUUGUUGGGUCUCUUCUGACUCAGUAACGAAGCUAACGCGUGAAGUGACC
Molecule: ribosomal RNA, 540 nt
Filed under: uncultured bacterium
Lineage: Bacteria
Description: bacterial SSU rRNA
Rfam family: Bacterial small subunit ribosomal RNA
Source: RNAcentral